This 1206-nucleotide long non-coding RNA is filed under the name Mus musculus (house mouse). RNAcentral's name for it is "long non-coding RNA chr11:88068730-88069936". Lineage: Eukaryota; Metazoa; Chordata; Mammalia; Rodentia; Muridae. The record is from RNAcentral.
GGCCCAGAGAAAGGAGGGCGCCGGGCCGCUGUGGAGCGCGGGCCGCUCGGCCACUGCGCGCCCGAGCGGGGCCGCGCGGCGCAGCGAGGGGGUCUCCGGGUCCCGCUCCGAGUACCCAUCCAUCUUUCGCUUGCGCUUUUCGCGUCACCUCUCUCUUUUUGUGUGUGUGUGCUUGUGUGUUGACUUUCUGACCCUCCUCCCACAUCCCGCGAAUAGCGGGUAUCUCUGGCUUCGCCGCCACUCCCCCUUCUCGCCGCCCCCUCGGGUGGACCCGACGGGGGGUGUUGCGAGCGUGGUUCCCCUCUGCAAACUUUUCUCCGCUCCUAGCCCAAGUCCUGGGCGAGCCCUGGCAACUGGUCCCCUCGCCUCUGUCCAGCUUCUGCGGUCCCAUUGAGCUUGGGGAAUCCCCGAGCCGGCGGGGCCGGGCGGGGGCGGGGAGCGGCGGGGGCCGGGACUCCUGCAGGCCCGACCUUCCCCGGAGCGUGUCUCGCUAGUCUCGCUCCGCGACCCGCUCGAACGUUCGCUCCGGCCCAGUGGGCGACGGGAAGCGGAGAGGGAGCGCAAAGUCCGCUUACAAAGCCCCUAGAUGAGUCACUCAUAGGGAGUAUGGGGGUCUUCGCUUCUUCUUUUUUUCCUUUUGCCAGAAACUUCAAAGCUAAUGUUAGCGGAUACUUCAGCCAUACCCUUCUCCUACCACUUUAAUGCGGGACCCCUGAUUGGAACUUUUUCCCCCCUCUGCUUCCUUUCUGUUUGCAAAUGCAUUGAUGAGCAGUAGAGAUAAGCACAUGCAGAAACUUCAGAACUGAAGGUUAGGGAGCUAGUCGUUUUUAAAAUGUGUCCUUCCCGCCUCCCUCUUUGGAGUUUUCCUAAAUACUUCGUGAAAUUCCAAACGCGUAGCUUGGGCGCUUGAGACCUUUGGAAAUGCAGAAUCUUCAAAAGAUUAUACUCUCCGCAUCUGGUCCCAUCCCGGUGGAGUUAAUACGGGGAAUUGGAGAAUUCAAAAUUACCCAUUGUGUAAUCUGGCUUGUCCUAUUAAGACAUGUUUCAAAUGUGAGCAUUUUUAUUUUAGGUAAUUAUUGAAAUAAAUGGGCUUACUAAAGUUGGAAAUUCUUAAGAUUUUGCAACUCCUGAACGUCCCACUUUAUCAUCCUUAAUCUGGUAUUGAUUUUAUUGUGCUUUGAUGAGUUUGUUAAGAAAGUGAUGGUC